AGAGUUUGAUCAUGGCUCAGAACGAACGCUGGCGGCGUGCCUAACACAUGCAAGUCGUGCGAGAAAGGUUCCUUCGGGAACCGAGUAAAGCGGCGCACGGGUGAGUAACACGUAGGUAACCUGCCCCUAAGCCUGGAACAACUGGAGGAAACUCCAGCUAAUGCCGGAUAAGACCACGGCCCCCUUGGGGACCGCGGCCAAAGAUGGCCUCUACUUGUAAGCUAUCGCUGAGGGAUGGGCCUGCGGGCCAUUAGCUUGUUGGUGAGGUAACGGCUCACCAAGGCUGUGAUGGCUAGCUGGUCUGAGAGGAUGACCAGCCACACCGGGACUGAGACACGGCCCAGACUCCUACGGGAGGCAGCAGCCAGGAAUCUUGGGCAAUGGGCGCAAGCCUGACCCAGCAACACCGUGUGGGCGAUGAANGCCUUCGGGUCGUAAAGCCCUGUUGAUAGGGACG
RNAcentral lists this ribosomal RNA (457 nucleotides) under uncultured bacterium. Its description in RNAcentral is "bacterial SSU rRNA". It matches the Rfam family "Bacterial small subunit ribosomal RNA", at positions 8 to 447 of the family's 1533-position model. The record is from RNAcentral.